CGGGCUCCUCCCGCUGGGGCGGCCGCGUCGUGGCUUAGCCAGGUCGGGCCCGGCUCGUCCUUCCCGGGACGCGCCCAAACGCCGCCGGGCUGAGGGGCAGGGUGCCGGAGCCGCGGUGCCCCGUCGGGCGGGCGCGGCGGCGGGCUGGCAGGCAGGGCGGGCGGUGGGGACGGGCGCAGCCGCUCCCCGCGGCUGCGGGGAAGCUGGGGAGGAACCUGUUGAUAGAGCCUGAAAGGUGGCCGGUUUCUUUCAAGCGUGAUCUAGUCCGAUCUUAGAUCUAGAUAAGGAACAGCUGCUCGCUCUACCGGUGCCGAAACCGGUUGAGUUUAACACGAGGCUUUCCUCGGGAAUGUCAGUUUUUGAACUGCUGCUGCACGCCGAGGCUGCGAACCUGAAAGUGCAUCCACAGAUGAGCAGAAGUGAGCAGGAUGCAGUGCAUUCCCACGUUUCAUCCUUCCCAGCUUCGUGUUCUCUACGGUUGUAAAGCCCCCUGAGCUGUCUGUUUCAGGAUCCUAAAAACUGAAGGCAUGUGAAGGGUUUGCUGUGUACAAGAGGGCUAUUCCACCAGGGAAAUAUUGCUGGGGUACUAGAGGUGGUGGCAAGACAGCCGGAGACAACGCUUUCACCAUCAAGGACACCAUCAAGGUCCUGCAGUGGUCAGACCAGAAAAGCAAAGCAGUUCGGGAACAGCGAAGUCUCUACUGACGAGGGAGAUCCGAGGUCAAGCCAGGGAAGUUGAGACAGCAGACCAGGGUUGGGAUCAGCAAGGUAUCUGCCUGGGCAGAUGUAUCAUCAGAACUUCUGCGCUGCUAUGGACCAACACCUGAAGAUGUGGUGGAAAAGAGUUACAGCCCAUUGCUUUCUGCAUUGCUGUGCAGCGUCUCAUCACAGUGUCCCACCUGGUAUAGCCCCAGCCUGCCCAAGGCAAUCUAGCUUCCUCAUUUGUGUGCACUUAUAAAACUACACAUUGUAAAGAAUCUGGGAGUAAAAACUGCCAUUAUCAAGAACUUCUUGAUGGAACUCAGGAAAUUCUAACUAUUGUCACCUUAAAUAAAUGGUUUAAAAAAAAUCACAUAUGUAAUCAACCAUACUCAUACUCAGCCAGGUCUCAAUAAAGGUAGAUCUUUACCGUACAUCUUGUAAUGUUUCACGCUUCUUUUCAGUGUCACUGUAUCCCUUAGAAAAAGUAGUGGGAGGCAUCUCUAGGGAUAUUCCUACAUAUAUAUAUACAAACAAUCUCCAAAAACUAAAAAUUAAGUAUUAUCUCCAACAACUCAGAGAGCAAUUGGAUCUACCUGCUUUGGUUGGUCUAAGGUCUGAUAUCUUCUAAAGUAUGAUUAAAUGUCAGAUGAAGAGCAAUAGGUCUUCAUCUUUUUCUCUUGAGCCUCUACCACUACCUUAUUUCUUGGUUAACGACAGCAGUACCAACAGCAAUUAGUCUGUAAUGUAGGCAUUUAAAUUCUAAUAGAAGGUCUAGAUACUUGAUAUCCAGGCUACAUCCAGGAGGCAGAUUCCCUUUGCCCUGCAUAAAGACUUUCUUGUACAUCUGUAUAGCAAUAAAUCUGGACUAAGCAACUGUCAUUUUCAUCAAUCUCUGAUUGGCCCAUUGAUCCAACUUCCAUCAUUUCUCCUUUCAAACAGUAACUAUUUUUUUUCAUCUUCUCUUCAGAUUUAGGAGACUUCCUUCACAAGCGUCUUCAAAACCAUUUUUCUCUUUGCCUUUGUCAUGGUGUUUUUAGAACACCAGCAAUGAAGAUGCAUGACUUUGAUGAUUAUGGUGGUGACAAUAACAAACUACAUUUUUAAUUCACCUUUUCAAUUUACCUAGUACCUUUUCAAAUGCUUUAGCUUUUGUCAUUAGUGUCACUAAUGUCAAUGAAAUACCAUUUUAUUGUGCACAAUCAGUAUCUUCUGCUUUAGCUCUACAUCUCUCUUCUCUCAUUUCCACUUAAUAAAAUGGAUUUUAGAUUUUUUCCAGAUGCAAUUGUCCACAGUUUACUAAUCUGUAUCUUUUUGUUUUCCCAUGGUUGUGCUUCUAAUCUCCCUAAAUCCUUUCGUAUGAUCUCUAUCUUUACUCAUUUGUACUCAAUUCCUCCCAUUUAACAUAAUCUGCAAAUUUUAUUGAUUUUUUGUGUAUUUCCUUUCCCAGGUCUCCAUUAAUGAAGACAGCAAAUAGGACCAGCUCUAAAACUAAUCAAGUGAUAUAUGAACAAGCACUUUCUGUUAUUCACUUAGCCAUCUCUGUGUUCAAAUGAUGCAGAUGUUUGUAUGUACUGUGCAAUAAUGCAGCUUACCUGAACUCUCAAAAAAAGAGGACAAGCAUAACUUGGUAGAUAGGUCACUACUUGCUUAUAUAUUUGCUCCAAAUCCAACGACGUAUUCUGCUUUAGAAUAAGAGAGGCCAUUCCUGCUUUUCCUUCAUGAUCUGGGCAGAAAAAGUGAAAUAAGAAUUUUGAAACAUGGAUGAAGUUGACAUUUUGUUGAUGAACCUUACAAAAAAGAAAUUAAUGAAUCAAUAAAAUGACAGUCAUAUAUCAUCUUCUGCGUUUUAGUAAAGCUAGAAGAUUAUAUUAAUAUAUUAUAUGGUAUUACAUAUAUUUGGAGAUCACUCAAGUGAUCGAUUAAGCAAUAAUGCUGUAAAUGAGUUAGGAGUCCCAUGCUCAAUAUAAAUCAAUAAAGGUGGAAAACAUCAACACCAUUCUUCUCUCAGAAACAAGAGGGCUGAGCCUCUUUCCUGGAUCAGAUAAUUAUGUCUUCUUUUCAGUUUUAGCCUUUCUCUCUUGCCGUUAUCUUCUCUCAAAACUGUGGGUCUGAAUGUCCUUAACACAGAGAGAGAUUGCAAGUUCUGACUUGUUUAGGUGGAAAGAGAGAGCACUGUGGAUCUAUGGGAAAGAUCAAAAUCGGAAAAAUAUAGAAGCAAUGAACUUCAGCAAUCAAAAAUAACCACACACUUUGACUACCAGGUAGUAAUAAUGGCAAAGACAUUCUGCCAAUGAUAUCUUUUGUCUCCUUUCCAUAUAUAUAGGGGUUUUUUGUUUUGUUUUGUUGGGUUUUUUUUGCUAAUGCUACAAAAUCUGUAAUGAACUUGAUUUGUGUCUGUUUAACUGCAGUUAUCAAUAGAGUCACAUAAACUGGGUAGGAAUCUGCAGAUAAGACUUGUAUAGGAAAUGAGAAGCUCUCAUAUUUUUGCGUCCAAUUUUCGAUCAGUCUGCUUUAUUAUGAUCUUUCUUAUUGUGUGGCUUUAAAUUAGAGGUGGCACUUUUUUCACAUUUUAAACUCUUUUUAUCAUUUUGCAGUGGGUUCAGCCUGCAUCCAGCCAGCUUCUCACUCACUCCCUUCUCCCAUGGAAUGGCAAAGGAAUAGAAGGAAGACAAGAAGAUUCACGUAUCAAGAUAAUGGCAAUUUAAUAGGGAAGGCAAAAGUUACAUGCAGAAGCAAAGCAAAACCAGGACUUCCUUAGUUAUUUCGCAUUGUCAGGCAGACACAAACAUCUUACCCUCUUCCUUUCCCAAGCUUUUAGCACUGAGCAUGGCAUCAUCUGAUAUGGAAUAUCCCCUUGCUUAGUUUAGGCCCAAUGUCCCAUCUACAUCUGCUCCCGAUUUCUUGCCCACCCCAGCAUACUUGCUGCAGGGAGAAAGCCUUGAUACUGUGCAAGUUUUUUUUAGUGAUAGCCAAGCAUUGGUAAGUUAUCAACACGGGUUUAGCUACUCAUGCAAAGCACAGCACCAUACGGACUCCUAUAAAGAAGCUUAUCUUUAACCUAGACAGAUAUAAUACACAUUUUAAGAAAAGAUUUAGCAUGAAUGAGAAUAAAGCUCAGAUGAUCUCAUGAAAAUUAACAAAAAAAAAAAAGUAUAUUUUAUUUUUUAAUUUAUUUUUCUCUUUGUUUUCUUAUUUUUUUUAAUUUUCUUUUUGACCUUGUCCUUGGUUUUGUAAUACACCUGUUUACAGAUGAUUUAUGAGGCUAAGUGGAAAGUAAAAUAAUACAGACGAAUGUCAUUGCACACUUUCCCUUAGAGUUACUUUACCUACAACUCUUACCUUGUUGACAUUUUAUUUUGACACAUAGAUGUGUAGAUUUUCCAUGGAUAUGAAUUUAAUAAAUCUUUAAACUUUAAUUUAUAUUAUGUAACUAUAGAAUCUUUUGGGUUGGAAAGACCUUUAAGAUCAUCGAGUCCAACCAUUAACCCAGCACUGGCAAGCCCACCGCUGAACCAUGUCCCCAGGCACCACAUCUCCACCUCUCCGCAUAUUCAUGAAAGGUUACUUUUAAAAAAUACACAUUACUGCAUGCACAUAAAAAUGUAUGAUUCAAUGGCUCAUUCAUAAUCUGGUAGUAUUUUCAAUAUUUCUAUGUAAAUUUUUAUUAGGUUUAAAACAUGAAAUAAAAAGUUAUGAGGGUUAACAACUAACGCAGGCGAAUGAAAACAUACAGCUAAAGCUUUUACCUGGCACAGAUACACCAUACACAUUUGCUUCUUGUAUGAAGUCCAACAUUACAAUGAUAUCAGAAACUUCUGUAGUUGCCACAUUCUCCCCUUUCCAUCUAAAACACAUUAGAAAAUAAUUUACUCCCAUGAAAACAUAGGGACACCUCUUCUUGAAAAAAACAUUAACUUUAUUAGGAACUCCAUUCCUUUCAGACUAACACCACCUCAAAUUUGUUCCCACUUAUCACACUGGUAUGUUGAUCUGAUCACCGGAAGGCUUGCAAUUCAAAUGGUACUGAAUAUUAGCUAUUACUAUAAAGCACAGUGAAAGCUGAUUAUAAUCUGAUAUAA
Strigops habroptila (Kakapo) is the source of this 4781-nucleotide long non-coding RNA. RefSeq lists it as uncharacterized. The record is from RefSeq and is a predicted model, not a curated record. The transcript has 3 exons. Lineage: Eukaryota; Metazoa; Chordata; Aves; Psittaciformes; Psittacidae.